This 205-nucleotide unclassified non-coding RNA is filed under the name soil metagenome. RNAcentral's name for it is "partial contains 5.8S ribosomal RNA, internal transcribed spacer 2, and large subunit ribosomal RNA". The record is from RNAcentral.
AACGCACGAGACCUGCGGACCUGCGGAAGGAUCAUUAUAGAGUUUUUAACUCCCAAACCCAUGUGAACUUACCUUUGUUGCCUCGGCGGAGCCUACCCGGUACCUACCCUGUAGCGCCCCGCCGGUGGACUUCUAAACUAUUGUUAUUUUAAUGAUAUCUGAGAGUCUUAUUUUAAUAAGUCAAAACUUUCAGCAACGGAUCUCU